CUGCCUUAAAGUGGGACAUAGCUAGCCGAAAGGUUGGGUAAUUUCCCAUGUGAACGUAAGUUUAAAGCCGCAAGGCGCUUUAAGAUGAGUCUGCGUCCUAUCAGCUAGUUGGUGGGGUAACGGCCUACCAAGGCGACGACGGGUAGCUGGUCUGAGAGGAUGGUCAGCCACAAUGGCACUGAGACACGGGCCAUACACCUACGGGUGGCAGCAACUGGGAAUAUUCGGCAAUGGGCGAAAGCCUGACCGAGCGACGCCGCGUGGAGGAUUGAAGGCCUUAGGGUCGUAAACUCCUUUUGCGAGGGAAGAUUAUGACGGUACCUCGCGAAUAAGCAUCUGCUAACUACGUGCCAGAAGCCUCGGUAAUACGUAGGAUGCGAGCAUUAUCCGGAUUUAUUGGGCGUAAAGAGUUGCGUAGGCUGAAUAACGCAUUCUGCUUGAAAGCCCGUGGCCUAACCACGGUUUUGGGCAGAAGAUGGUUAUUCUAGAUGGUAAGAGAGGGUACUGGAACCGACUGUGUAGCAGUGAAAUGCGUUGAUAUAGUCGGGAACACCGAAGGCGUAGGCAGGUACCUAUCUUACUCAUGACGCUGAGGCACG
RNAcentral lists this ribosomal RNA (599 nucleotides) under uncultured bacterium. RNAcentral describes it as "bacterial SSU rRNA". It matches the Rfam family "Bacterial small subunit ribosomal RNA", at positions 126 to 755 of the family's 1533-position model. The record is from RNAcentral.